GACGAACGCUGGCGGCGUGCCUAAUACAUGCAAGUCGAACGAGAGCGACCGGUGCUUGCCCUGGUCAAUCUAGUGGCGAACGGGUGAGUAACACGUGGGUAACCUGCCCAUCAGAGGGGGAUAACAUCCGGAAACGGAUGCUAAAACCGCAUAGGUCUUCGAGCCGCAUGGCUUGAAGAGGAAAAGAGGCGCAAGCUUCUGCUGAUGGAUGGACCCGCGGUGCAUUAGCUAGUUGGUGAGGUAACGGCUCACCAAGGCCGUGAUGCAUAGCCGACCUGAUAGGGUGAUCGGCCACAUUGGGACUGAGACACGGCCCAAACUCCUACGGGAGGCAGCAGUAGGGAAUCUUCCGCAAUGGACGCAAGUCUGACGGAGCAACGCCGCGUGAGUGAAGAAGGUUUUCGGAUCGUAAAACUCUGUUGUUAGAGAAGAACAAGUGCUAGAGUAACUGUUAGCGCCUUGACGGUAUCUAACCAGAAAGCCACGGCUAACUACGUG
RNAcentral lists this ribosomal RNA (498 nucleotides) under uncultured bacterium. RNAcentral describes it as "partial 16S ribosomal RNA". It matches the Rfam family "Bacterial small subunit ribosomal RNA", at positions 28 to 507 of the family's 1533-position model. The record is from RNAcentral.